Molecule: ribosomal RNA, 245 nt
Filed under: Salmonella enterica subsp. enterica serovar Infantis
Lineage: Bacteria; Pseudomonadati; Pseudomonadota; Gammaproteobacteria; Enterobacterales; Enterobacteriaceae
Also listed under: 11 other names
Description: partial 16S ribosomal RNA
Rfam family: Bacterial small subunit ribosomal RNA
Source: RNAcentral
AAAUUGAAGAGUUUGAUCAUGGCUCAGAUUGAACGCUGGCGGCAGGCCUAACACAUGCAAGUCGAACGGUAACAGGAAGCAGCUUGCUGCUUUGCUGACGAGUGGCGGACGGGUGAGUAAUGUCUGGGAAACUGCCUGAUGGAGGGGGAUAACUACUGGAAACGGUGGCUAAUACCGCAUAACGUCGCAAGACCAAAGAGGGGGACCUUCGGGCCUCUUGCCAUCAGAUGUGCCCAGAUGGGAUU